CCUACGGGAGGCAGCAGUGGGGAAUUUUGCGCAAUGCUCGUAAGAGUGACGCAGCGACGCCGCGUGAAUGACGAAGGCCUUCGGGUCGUAAAGUUCUUUCGAACGGGAAGAAAAUGCCUAUAAGGAACUGUGUAUGUAUUGACGGUACCUGUAUAAGCAGCCCCGGCUAACUCCGUACCAGCAGCAGCAGUAAUACGGAGGGGGCGAGCGUUGUACGGAGUGACUGGGCGUAAAGAGCACGUAGGCGGUGUUGUAAGUCAUUAGUCAAAGACUAGAGCUCAACUUUAGUAAGGCUAGUGUUACUAUAAUACGAGAGUAUCAGAGAGGAUUGCAGAAUUCCUGGUGUAGCGGUGAAAUGCGUAGAUAUCAGGAGGAAUACCGUUAGCGAAGGCGGCAAUCUGGCUGGAAACUGACGCUGAGGUGCGAAAGCGUGGGUAGCAAACAGGAUUAGAUACCCGAGUAGUC
RNAcentral lists this ribosomal RNA (465 nucleotides) under uncultured bacterium. Its description in RNAcentral is "partial 16S ribosomal RNA". It matches the Rfam family "Bacterial small subunit ribosomal RNA", at positions 338 to 795 of the family's 1533-position model. The record is from RNAcentral.